CCUACGGGGGGCAGCAGUCGAGAAUCAUUCACAAUGGGGGAAACCCUGAUGGUGCGACGCCGCGUGGGGGAAUGAAGGUCUUCGGAUUGUAAACCCCUGUCAUGUGGGAGCAAAUUAAAAAGAUAGUACCACACGAGGAAGAGACGGCUAACUCUGUGCCAGCAGCCGCGGUAAUACAGAGGUCUCAAGCGUUGUUCGGAAUCACUGGGCGUAAAGCGUGCGUAGGCUGUUUCGUAAGUCGUGUGUGAAAGGCGCGGGCUCAACCCGCGGACGGCACAUGAUACUGCGAGACUAGAGUAAUGGAGGGGGAACCGGAAUUCUCGGGGUAGCAGUGAAAUGCGUAGAUAUCGAGAGGAACACUCGUGGCGAAGGCGGGUUCCUGGACAUUAACUGACGCUGAGGCACGAAGGCCAGGGGAGCGAAAGGGAUUAGAUACCCUUGUAGUC
RNAcentral lists this ribosomal RNA (446 nucleotides) under uncultured bacterium. RNAcentral's name for it is "partial 16S ribosomal RNA". It matches the Rfam family "Bacterial small subunit ribosomal RNA", at positions 338 to 795 of the family's 1533-position model. The record is from RNAcentral.